RNAcentral lists this ribosomal RNA (497 nucleotides) under uncultured bacterium. Its description in RNAcentral is "partial 16S ribosomal RNA". It matches the Rfam family "Bacterial small subunit ribosomal RNA", at positions 28 to 507 of the family's 1533-position model. The record is from RNAcentral.
GAUGAACGCUGGCGGCGUGCCUAAUACAUGCAAGUCGAGCGAACAGACGAGGAGCUUGCUCCUCUGACGUUAGCGGCGGACGGGUGAGUAACACGUGGAUAACCUACCUAUAAGACUGGGAUAACUUCGGGAAACCGGAGCUAAUACCGGAUAAUAUAUUGAACCGCAUGGUUCAAUAGUGAAAGACGGUUUUGCUGUCACUUAUAGAUGGAUCCGCGCCGCAUUAGCUAGUUGGUAAGGUAACGGCUUACCAAGGCAACGAUGCGUAGCCGAACGGAGAGGGUGAUCGGCCACACUGGAACUGAGACACGGUCCAGACUCCUACGGGAGGCAGCAGUAGGGAAUCUUCCGCAAUGGGCGAAAGCCUGACGGAGCAACGCCGCGUGAGUGAUGAAGGUGUUCGGAUCGUAAAACUCUGUUAUUAGGGAAGAACAAAUGUGUAAGUAGCUAUGCACGUCUUGACGGUACCUAAUCAGAAAGCCACGGCUAACUACGUG